Molecule: non-coding RNA, 233 nt
Filed under: Syntrophomonas wolfei
Lineage: Bacteria; Bacillati; Bacillota; Clostridia; Eubacteriales; Syntrophomonadaceae
Description: T-box sequence
Rfam family: T-box leader
About the family: Uncharged tRNA acts as the effector for transcription antitermination of genes in the T-box leader family. T-boxes are found upstream of many aminoacyl-tRNA synthetase genes and some amino acid biosynthetic genes usually in Gram-positive bacteria. The anticodon of a specific tRNA base pairs to a specifier sequence within the T-box motif, and the NCCA acceptor tail of the tRNA base pairs to a conserved bulge in the T-box antiterminator hairpin.
Source: RNAcentral
UUAAUUGCGGGGAACGGGAUAAGUAAGCAUAGUAUCGCUGCCAGAGAGAAAAGGUCAGCGGCUGAGAGCCUUUUCACAGUAUGAGCUCUGCUGAAUUGCACCCGGGAGCAGGUAGGCCGAAUCUUAAAGUAGGCCUAUCCGGUUAUAAGCCGUUAUAGGAUUAAGGGGAGUGCUUUUAGGAAAACAGCGCUCAAUUAGAGUGGAACCGCGGAAGAAUGCCUUUCGUCUCUUUA